Oncorhynchus tshawytscha (Chinook salmon) is the source of this 2750-nucleotide long non-coding RNA. NCBI's taxonomy places the organism in Eukaryota, Metazoa, Chordata, Actinopteri, Salmoniformes, Salmonidae. The record is from Ensembl.
GGAUGAGUCAAAUUAUUUUUAUUGUUCCACUGUGAUUGUGCCACACAGGCCUGAGAUCACACACAAAGUGCAGCACACACCUUGUAGGACAACACUCAUCACACAAGACAACAUAGAUCAUCCCCAUAAACACAGUAAAAAACAACAAAGAGUGCAACCAAUCAGAAAACUGAGAGAAUAAAAACAAAGAUCUGAGGAGUAUUAUUUGGCAUGGACCGUGUGGCUUGCCAGAACUGAGGAGUAUUAUUUGGCAUGGCCCGUGUGUCUUGCCAGAACUGAGGAGUAUUAUUUGGCAUGGCCCGUGUGGCUUGCCAGUGUUUGGUCCACUGGGACACAGAGAGGAGGCAUUUGACACAGUCAUUGUUCCAUCUCAGGUAGGUAAGUCGCACACCGUGCUGCUUUGGCCAGGUUAAAGUCAUGGGAGAUGUGGCAGUAAACAAGCGGAGAGUGCUGUUCCCAGGGAUCAAGGAGGAACCACCUCACUGAUCCUGUUCUACCGGUCUGUCCAUACUGUAAUCCACCCAUCUCCUUGGUCAUGACAGCUAUGUAUGGACUAUUUGGCCCUGUUAACAUUAGCACAGUUUCUCUCUAUAUAGUAGCCAACAACCUCAUAAUGACGAAACACAUAUUACUGCAUGUACUAUGUCAUUCAAGUUUACAUUUGUCAUACCUUUUGGGGAUCACAAGUACAGGUUGUGACCUUGAUAGCAUUGUACAGGCUUUGUGAAUGUAUUGUAUGAUAAGUGUAUCAAUGAAGUAGGAUUUGUACAUGAUAAUAUUUCAGAAACAAUAUAAACAGGUGAAUACAUGGUAUGAUAUGGUCAAUGAUAGGGUUGUUCCAUGAAAUAAGGGAUAUUUUAAGGAAUUGUGCACAAAUAAUUAACUUUAAAAGCCGGUUAUAUUAAAUGAAGUGCCUUUUAAUAUAGACCACAUGGACAAUUCAAUAAAUCCAAUAUGAAUAAAGACUUGCUAAAUUGCUCUCUGCAUUUUGUCAUGUCUCUCUGUGCACCCUCUAGCCACUGUGCUUCUACGCCUGCAUUGCUUGCUUUGAUUGAUUGGAACUUCUAGACUUUAACCCACUUAACCAAGAUGUAUCCACAUUUUCACCUUCAUUGUAAAGCCCUAGUUAUUUUGUUGCUUUGAUGAAGUCAUUUCUAAAGAUGAUUAUUUAUUUAAUGUGAUUAGUUAUUCAUUUUAAAAAGGUUUAAAAAAAACUGCCCAUUUUAAGGUCAAGUCUGUUACAUGAACAGAAAUCUCAUUUUAAUAUGCUAAAACUAUUCAUCUCAAAAAAAAAUGUUUUGAAGAAACAUUGAACAUCUAAUAGUCAUUGGCCAUUUUCUGGCGUUUUGUGGUGGAGAACUGAGCAGGUCGAGCAUCAACCCUGUUACCUAUAGACAGACAGGCUAUAAAUAUUUUAGAGGCCUGGUGCGGUCCUAAACGUGAUGUUAUUUACAUUUCCUCACUUUGAGGUUGGAAUAAUACUGUGAAACUGUGAAAAAGAUGAUAAUGCCAUUUUAGUGUAAGCAAUGUUUGAAAUGUCUGCCUGUUUUGGUUGAAUGGCGUUCUGGCCUGCCUGGUGACAUCACCGGUACAUUUGUUAAUAGACCAAUAAGAAAGAUAGUUCCAAACCUCUCUGCAGCUAGGUUUACAUUCUCCCCAGCCUACUCAGACCACUCCCAGACAGUCCAAGCAAAGUUCUUGCUUGAGAAAUUGUUCUUUGCUAAGAAGCUAUUUUUGUUUUCUUGUUGACCAUUUCAAUUGAAAACUAUCACAUUAAGGUACUUCACUGUUACCCAGAAAUGAUUUGAUAUUGAGAUUAAAAACAGCUGCAUUGGAUGGUAACAAAAAUAGAACAUUUUGAAGCUUGCAUUCAAUUGCCCGUCCCUGUUGCACACAAAAAGCUUCCAUUUCCUCUGUCACAAGGGGAGUUAUGGCUGAUUUAAGAUGAAAGUCAUCAAUCCUGUUACUUUAUUCAGCACUUAAUAGGCCUUACUAUAGUCAUUUUCUUUUACCUCUUGAGAUGGGAAAACAUGUUUUUUAUUCAGUUGAACAUUGACCGAAUGUUAAAAUGAGGUGAAAUAAAAUUCUAAAAUGCAGUUACACUACUCAAAAGGCAUCUAAUUAGUGGAACCACCCAAUACCUUUGUGAAUAUAAAAAGGCAAAAGCAGGAUACAAAGGAAGAUGCUGUUUACGAUCAACGCUAUUGGUUCGUCUUUCCCACAGAGAGAAUUUACAGUACUGUACAAUUUAAAAUAAAACAUGGUAAACAUUUUUAAAAAGUAAACAAAAGUAAACAUUUUAAAAUCUCUAUACCAUUGCAUUGCUUUUGGAGUAAUAGCAAUCGAGUCAAACGUUUGGUUGUGUUCCUGAGAGACUCAUGUGGCCUGCAUGCCUGUCCCCAGUGGCUGAGGCCCCAGGCUGGAUGUCCAGCAAUGUCCAGUGGGGCCUGGGUGGGGAUGGAAUGGGGGACAGGGGGUGGGCCUGGUUGUCUGGUCCUGUCCUGUGGAUUACCUGAGUGAGGGGCUGGCAACGAGACGCAGGUGGCUGGGCUUGGUGGGGAUGGAGGGCUUGUUGCCGUGGGGGAGAGGGGUCUGUGUGGAGGGGGUGGGGCAUGUCACACUGAAGGUCUUCAUGAGCUGAGCCACCCGGCCACGCCCUGUACAGGUGUCCCCGCCCCCAUCAGACACCACAUCCUCAGACAUGGUCCUGCGAGAGGCUGCGAUCACACGGAUAUCUGGGAGAGGUAGAC